Molecule: ribosomal RNA, 491 nt
Filed under: uncultured bacterium
Lineage: Bacteria
Description: partial 16S ribosomal RNA
Rfam family: Bacterial small subunit ribosomal RNA
Source: RNAcentral
AGUGAACGCUGGCGGUAUGCCUAACACAUGCAAGUCGAACGGCCGCACAGUAAGCGCUUGCUCUUACGGGUGGCGAGUGGCGGACGGGUGAGGAAUACAUCGGAAUCUACUUUUUCUUGGGUGAUAACGUAGGGAAACUUCCGCUACUACCUCAUACGACCUACGGGUGAAAGCAGGGGUUCUUCGGACCUUUCGCGAUUGAAUGAGCCGAUGUCGGAUUAGCUAGUUGGCGGGGUAAAGUCCCACCAAGGCGACGAUCCGUAGCUGGUCUGAGAGGAUGAUCAGCCACACUGGAACUGAGACACGGUCCAGACUCCUACGGGAGGCAGCAGUGGGGAAUAUUGGACAAUGGGCGCAAGCCUGAUCCAGCCAUACCGCGUGGGUGAAGAAGGCCUUCGGGUUGUAAAGCCCUUUUGUUGGGAAAGAAAAGCAGCAGGUUAAUACCCCGCUGUUCUGACGGUACCCAAAGAAUAAGCACCGGCUAACUUCGU